This 470-nucleotide long non-coding RNA is filed under the name Numida meleagris (helmeted guineafowl). RNAcentral describes it as "lncRNA (ENSNMEG00000006065.1)". Lineage: Eukaryota; Metazoa; Chordata; Aves; Galliformes; Numididae. The record is from RNAcentral.
AUGUAACUGCUAAGAUAUCAGCUAAAAUUUGUUAGGAAUUGACAGAAUUGUUAAGAAUUUUGUCUCUGCUACACUGGAAUGGACAUAAGUGACUGACGAGUUUAGAGACAUCUCCCUGAUUUACAGGAACUGGAAGCUGGGCUGGUUGAAGAUUGAUGCUGUCCUGAUAAUGAGUGAAUGACAACAGGACAAUCUGCCUGGGACUCCAACAGUGAACACAGAAAAGGAGUGCUGCAACGUAUGUCAACAGAAGAGCAAGGCCCAGCAGGGAUACCUUCUGCAUGUUGGAGAAGGACCCCAGGGAAAGGGCCUGAUGCACUGCUCACACUUCCCUUAGGUGUGGCUGAUGUUCCUCACUUUUCCCUGAGAUUUUUGCAGAAGUUCCUGUGAUGGUUGACAACUACCAUUUGCUUCUCCGGAUAAGCACCAUAGGCAGAAAAAAAUAAGUACUCUGGAUCCCUGAAUUCUGA